ACGCCUAACACAUGCAAGUCGAACGAAGUAGCAAUACUUAGUGGCAGACGGGUGAGUAACAUGUAGGUAUCUACCCUUUGGCCUGGAAUAACACGAGGAAACUUGUGCUAAUACCGGAUAAGUCUUUACGGAGAAAGCUUUAUGCACCAUUGGAUGAGCCUGCACUUGAUUAGUUUGUUGGUGGGGUAAUGGCCUACCAAGACUUUGAUCAAUAGCUGAUUUGAGAGGAUGAUCAGCCACAUUGGGACUGAGACACGGCCCAAACUCCUACGGGAGGCAGCAGUGGGGAAUCUUGCACAAUGGAGGAAACUCUGAUGCAGCGAUGCCGCGUGAGUGAAGAAGGCCCUUGGGUUGUAAAGCUCUUUCGUCGGGGAAGAAAAUGACUGUACCCGAAUAAGAAGGUCCGGCUAACUUCGUGCCAGCAGCCGCGGUAAUACGAAGGGACCUAGCGUAGUUCGGAAUUACUGGGCUUAAAGAGUUCGUAGGUUGUUGAAAAAGUUGGUGGUGAAAUCCCAGAGCUUAACUCUGGAACUGCCAUCAAAACUUUUCAGCUAGAGUUUGAUAGAGGAAAGCAGAAUUUCUAGUGUAGAGGUGAAAUUCGUAGAUAUUAGAAAGAAUACCAAUUGCGAAGGCAGCUUUCUGGAUCAUUACUGACACUGAGGAACGAAAGCAUGGGUAGCGAAGAGGAUUAGAUACCCUCGUAGUCCAUGCCGUAAACGAUGUGUGUUAGACGUUGGAAAUUUAUUUUCAGUGUCGCAGCGAAAGCGAUAAACACACCGCCUGGGGAGUAC
Molecule: ribosomal RNA, 791 nt
Filed under: uncultured Pelagibacteraceae bacterium
Lineage: Bacteria; Pseudomonadati; Pseudomonadota; Alphaproteobacteria; Candidatus Pelagibacterales; Candidatus Pelagibacteraceae
Description: bacterial SSU rRNA
Rfam family: Bacterial small subunit ribosomal RNA
Source: RNAcentral